Molecule: ribosomal RNA, 528 nt
Filed under: uncultured bacterium
Lineage: Bacteria
Description: bacterial SSU rRNA
Rfam family: Bacterial small subunit ribosomal RNA
Source: RNAcentral
AAUAGAUACCCGGGUAGUCCACGCCGUAAACGAUGAGUGCUAAGUGUUAGAGGGUUUCCGCCCUUUAGUGCUGCAGCUAACGCAUUAAAGCACUCCGCCGUGGGGAGUACGGUCGCAAGACUGAAACUCAAAGGAAUUGACGGGGGCCCGCACAAGCGGUGGAGCAUGUGGUUUAAUUCGAAGCAACGCGAAGAACCUUACCAGGUCUUGACAUCCUCUGACAACUCUAGAGAUAGAGCGUUCCCCUUCGGGGGACAGAGUGACAGGUGGUGCAUGGUUGUCGUCAGCUCGUGUCGUGAGAUGUUGGGUUAAGUCCCGCAACGAGCGCAACCCUUGAUCUUAGUUGCCAGCAUUUAGUUGGGCACUCUAAAGUGACUGCCGGUGACAAACCGGAGGAAGGUGGGGAUGACGGUCAAAUCAUCAUGCCCCUUAUGACCUGGGCUACAUACGUGCUACAAUGGAUGGUACAAAGGGCUGCAAGACCGCGACGGUCAAGCCAAUCCCAUAAAAACCCAUUCUCAGUUCGGA